RNAcentral lists this ribosomal RNA (489 nucleotides) under Escherichia coli. RNAcentral describes it as "bacterial SSU rRNA". It matches the Rfam family "Bacterial small subunit ribosomal RNA", at positions 1 to 477 of the family's 1533-position model. Lineage: Bacteria; Pseudomonadati; Pseudomonadota; Gammaproteobacteria; Enterobacterales; Enterobacteriaceae. The record is from RNAcentral.
UUAAAUUGAAGAGUUUGAUCAUGGCUCAGAUUGAACGCUGGCGGCAGGCCUAACACAUGCAAGUCGAACGGUAACAGGAAGCAGCUUGCUGCUUCGCUGACGAGUGGCGGACGGGGGAGUAAUGUCUGGGAAACUGCCUGAUGGAGGGGGAUAACUACUGGAAACGGUAGCUAAUACCGCAUAACGUCGCAAGACCAAAGAGGGGGACCUUCGGGCCUCUUGCCAUCGGAUGUGCCCAGAUGGGAUUAGCUAGUAGGUGGGGUAACGGCUCACCUAGGCGACGAUCCCUAGCUGGUCUGAGAGGAUGACCAGCCACACUGGAACUGAGACACGGUCCAGACUCCUACGGGAGGCAGCAGUGGGGAAUAUUGCACAAUGGGCGCAAGCCUGAUGCAGCCAUGCCGCGUGUAUGAAGAAGGCCUUCGGGUUGUAAAGUACUUUCAGCGGGGAGGAAGGGAGUAAAGUUAAUACCUUUGCUCAUUGACGUUA